GACGAACGCUGGCGGCGUGCUUAACACAUGCAAGUCGAACGGAAAUGCCCUGCUUUUGUGGGGUGCUCGAGUGGCGAACGGGUGAGUAACACGUGAGUAACCUGCCCUUGACUUUGGGAUAACUUCAGGAAACUGGGGCUAAUACCGGAUAGGAGCUCCUGCUGCAUGGUGGGGGUUGGAAAGUUUCGGCGGUUGGGGAUGGACUCGCGGCUUAUCAGCUUGUUGGUGGGGUAGUGGCUUACCAAGGCUUUGACGGGUAGCCGGCCUGAGAGGGUGACCGGCCACAUUGGGACUGAGAUACGGCCCAGACUCCUACGGGAGGCAGCAGUGGGGAAUAUUGAACAAUGGGCGGAAGCCUGAUGCAGCAACGCCGCGUGCGGGAUGACGGCCUUCGGGUUGUAAACCGCUUUCGCCUGUGACGAAGCGUGAGUGAAGGUAAUGGGUAAAGAAGCACCGGCUAACUACGUG
This 468-nucleotide ribosomal RNA is filed under the name uncultured bacterium. RNAcentral's name for it is "partial 16S ribosomal RNA". It matches the Rfam family "Bacterial small subunit ribosomal RNA", at positions 28 to 507 of the family's 1533-position model. The record is from RNAcentral.